AUUUUUUUGGAAAAACAAAUUUGGAGAACAAACUCUCUUCUCUGCUCAUAACGAAUCAACAACAAAGGCAAUCUCAAACUCUCCUUCGGUCGCCGCUCUCACCUUCUCUGUGAACAAACCGCGGCCCUCUCUCUUGAUUUUCUUCUCUUCACGAAUUUAAUCUCUCCAUUGCUCUUUCGUGAAGAACAACAACAACAACACUCGUUCCCCCCUCUCACGAUGAACAAGAACAAGUUCGAUUUCCUCUCUCAAUAGCCCUCUCUCGUUCGUACUUGGCUAUCUCUUUCUCAGAAUAACAACGGCGCUCUCUGUCUUUCACGGCGGCCAUGGACGAACAAGAGGUUCCUUAAAGAUUUUUAGAUAAUACAGGAACAAUAUAUUUGUAGCAACUGAUAAAAGCAAUAUUUGAGAGCAAGGGGUAAAGUCAACUUACCUGCGGCAAGAGAUGUUUUUCCGGAUUUUGUUAAGUGGCCAUGGGAUCUUAUCUCGACGAGAAGAACUUACCGUAUAACCCGGUUUCUUUCACAAACAGA
Vicia villosa (hairy vetch) is the source of this 533-nucleotide long non-coding RNA. RefSeq lists it as uncharacterized. NCBI's taxonomy places the organism in Eukaryota, Viridiplantae, Streptophyta, Magnoliopsida, Fabales, Fabaceae. The transcript has 3 exons. The record is from RefSeq and is a predicted model, not a curated record.